UCCUGGGAUAGCUCAGUCGGUAGAGCAUGAGACUAUUAAUCUCGGGGUCAUGGGUUCGAGCCCCAUGUUGGGUGAA
Molecule: non-coding RNA, 76 nt
Organism: Podarcis lilfordi (Lilford's wall lizard)
Lineage: Eukaryota; Metazoa; Chordata; Lepidosauria; Squamata; Lacertidae
Source: the annotation of a GenBank genome assembly